This is a long non-coding RNA of Sapajus apella (tufted capuchin), 1508 nucleotides long. RefSeq lists it as uncharacterized. NCBI's taxonomy places the organism in Eukaryota, Metazoa, Chordata, Mammalia, Primates, Cebidae. The record is from RefSeq and is a predicted model, not a curated record. The transcript has 2 exons.
GACGGGGCGCUCGCCCCACCUGUGCCAGGAGCUCCGGCCGCGAGGGUGCAGGGAGCCCCGCCGGCUGGGUCGCCCGAAGGGCGUUGCGGGGCUCCGGGCGGGGCCGACCCGGGGGGCUCCGUCUGGCCCCACCAGCCUUGCGCCUUUUUCGCUCGGUCUCCUUGGCCUCCCGCUCCUGCGACGCCGCUUUCCUUUUCUCUUGCUCCCGAGCUCGGACCUCGGCCAGGGGCCCCGCCCGCCAGUUGGUCGCCUCCUGCAGCACCCUGGAGGCCCAGGGCCGGCGGGGCGGCGGCUGUGGGGAUCCCGGGCGCGGCCCACACCUGGGACAAUGAGCAGGAACCCAGGAAAUGUGACUUCACUGGAUGCAUUACAAAGAUCUUCAGAUGUCCUCCUGCCAGGGAUUACAGGGAUCACAGUCAGACCACCGAGGUCCAGUAGCAACCUGCAAGCGGAGAUCCCUCUGGACGUCCCCUGCCUCACCCAGCAAAGCUGGAUCACAGCCCUGCCCUCUCAAGCAAACCUCUGAAAGGGCUUGAGGUGCUAAGAGGAAAGGAGGCCCGAGAUUGCCAUGGCAUACGUGGGCUCGCUCCAAGGAGCGAGCCAGGAGUCACUGCCUGCUCGGGCUAAGGGUACCGCGUAAGGAAAGGCGGCGGGGGCGCGGCCCAGUCCUAGGAUACGCGCCCAGCGAAGAAGUGGAGGGACAGGGUCACGGGAUAGGGCAGACACCCGGCUGCUUCUUGUUUGCUAGACACCAGCGCCAGCCCCUGCCCGGCCCUCCCGGUCUCCUAACGGGGGUCUUAGGCUCCACAGCGCCCCCGACCGCCCUCCGGCACUCCUCACCGUCUCCAUUGCAAGACGCGCCGGCUUGGUUCUCUCGCUUUAGGAAGCUCUCUUGGGGCAGGCCCCGCCCCACAUCCGGUGCGGCAACGCCACAUCCGCCCACGUCACGGCAGUCGCCAGACUAGGGCGGAAGACGGAGAACCCACCCUUCCGGCGGUGGCGGGCCUCGGUAACCGCCCUCCCCCGUUCCUCGCAGACCGCACGGAUCCCGCUGAUGGCAAGGGUCACGGGACGGAGUCGCUUGUAUUUAAAAUGUUCUUUUUUUAUUUGUUGUUUAAAAACAAACUCGGAAGAAGCAAAAUCCAAAACUUGCCCUUUGCCUCUCGCAACAUAAAUUAUGUACAGUUCAGAAUGAUCGCUGAUACAAAACAUGCCAAGGACAGGGGCGCUGAGGGUGGAGGGAGAGAGGGCGCUUUAAAAAAGGGAACCAUUUCAUCCGUUGUUACGAAGGACCAACCUUGCUGUACAGGAUACACACAACACAAAAUAAAGUUUUCACGGGAUUCACACUUGUCAGCGAUUUAUUUUUUAAAAAGGGGGGAGGGUCCUGGAGGUGAGGGGAGAAGACUGUAAAGGGGAAAACUGAAAAUUGAGUAUGUGCGAGUGUAAACCAACCCAAAAUACAAACAUGGGGGGUGGAGGAUUUUGAUGCAAUUAUACAGGCAGGG